RNAcentral lists this ribosomal RNA (934 nucleotides) under Moneuplotes crassus. RNAcentral's name for it is "partial small subunit ribosomal RNA". It matches the Rfam family "Bacterial small subunit ribosomal RNA", at positions 537 to 1533 of the family's 1533-position model. Lineage: Eukaryota; Ciliophora; Spirotrichea; Euplotida; Euplotidae. The record is from RNAcentral.
AGCGUUAUCCGUCGUGAUUGGGUGUAAAAACAGCUAGGCUGCUAGGUUAUUCGCUCCAGAAAGAAACUUCUUUAAGGUUUGUAGAGCGCUUAACUUAUGCUUGGGUUAAUUGGACGUUUGUAGAAUCGUAAGUGGAGCGGUAAAAUGCUUAGAUAAUUGCGGAAUUUCCGAAAUAUGGCAAGGCGACCUGCGACAAUUAACCGACGCUGAACUGUUAAAGUAUAAGUAUCGAAGAGGAUUGGAGACCCUCCUAGUUUAUACCCUGAAUAAUGAAUGUCAAUUUUUAAAGUUAGCUAACGCACGAACAUUCUGCCUGAAGAGUAAGGCCGCAAGGGCUAAAUUUAAAGAGAUUGGCGGGAGUUUAGAUAAAUGGUGGAAUAUGUGGUUUAAUUCGAUAAUCCGCGGGAAACCUUACCAGUGUACGACGCCAGACUAAGAUAACUAAGUGUCUAGUCUUAUCGAUGUUUGUUUCGUUUAGGUACUGCAUGGCUGUCAUCAGUUCGUAAUGUAGGUAUAUUUCGAACACAAUCUUUAAUAAUUACUAAGCAGGCUAUACCGCCGUUUGGUAUGAAACAAAGCUACUAACGGCUCUGUUUAUUGUAGUUUUUUCAUUUAUUUUUAAGUGAAUUGGGAGGAGAAGUCAAGUCAUUAUGGUCUUAAUAUGCUGGGCUACACACGUAUUACAGGGCUAAAGACAAUGAAUUUCGCUUUAAAGCGGUUAAUUUCUAAAAAUUAGCUCGGUUCGAAUCGUUCUUUGAAAUUGAGGAGCGUGAAGUAGGAAUCAUUAGUAAUCGCAAAUAAGAUCGCUGCGAUGAAUCUUUAUAUACUUUGCACACACCGCCCAUCAUAUUCGAAGAGUUGUCGCGGUUUAAAGGUUUACGCUCGUUUCGGUAUAUUAAGUAUACUGUAAAUUAGUUUACCUAAAAACGCGGUG